UUCUGAUGAAUCCGCUCGAGCUGAGACCGAGGUUGAAUCACUUAAAACUUCAGAACUGGUUCCGAGGAGACGGGACUAAAGCAGGGACAGAGAGUGGGCCCGGAUUUGCAAAAUGAAAAGGAAAGCGGAUCCGAACUCGAGCACUGGUUCCGAGCAGACGGGACUAAAGCAGGGACAGAGAGUAGGCCUGGAUUUGCCACAUGAAAAAGGAAAGUUUUACCCAAGUAAGACAUCGGGUGCGCAGGAGACCGUAUCUCGGUCAAAAAAAGGGAGAAAUGUGGGGUAAAGCACAAGAUCGGAAAACAUUCGGCUGGUUUUUUUAUUUUUCUCCUCACACCUCUCUCUCCAGCUGGACGUGAGGGAUUGUUUCGGAUAGACUGCCAUCUUUCCGACCACGGGAUACGGCGCCCCGGCCGCAUCCGCUCCCGCUAAAGGCCCCACGCCCUGGAGUCCGGUGACAUCACAGUGUCAGCGCGUUCCUCGACGGAGCAGGGGCUCGGGGGGCCGUCGCCGGGUAACGGUGAGGUUCGAUGAAAUGCCUCGGGUGGAAGAUGGAGAGUCGACGGGCUCCCCCUUUCCCCGGAAAAUGCCCUUCGGGCCGAGCGGCCCUGGCUCGGAUCUUCUCCGUUCUCUUCCUGCUCUACGGCUCUGGGGAGACGCAAACUCUUCGACUGCCCCGCCGCCCGGAUAUUCCGGAAGAGAAACCCCCGAAACCCCCUCCCCGGAAGGAUAUCCUAAAGAUGGGCAUUUGGGCCUGCUUGGUGGUCAUGGGAUUUCUGCUGAUCAUCGUCACAGUUUUCCAGAUACUGACUUUUUGUCAUAUUACCCAGCCGAUGAAAAAUUGCCUAAAGAGACUUCGGAGAAGCGAUAAGUCGCGUUCGGAUUGUAAACGCGAGGCGGGGGGACGGACGGACUCUAACGUGAGCUCGAGCGCGGGAGAGUUCCCCCUGGGAGAAUCCAUCCCGCCCUCCCCCGCCAGCCAGGAGAGCAACGUCUCGUCGGAAGCCCGGUAUUCUCCUAACGGCGCGGGCUCUUGUGAUGAAACCCCCGGGACGAGCCCUCCACCCCGGAGCGUUUCCGACUUCUCCCCCGGAGGCGGCGUCUGCGCGCCGGAACCCGGCGAGGACGGGGACCUGCGGGGGGAGAGCCCGGCCGAUGCAGGCGGCCGGGCGGGAGAAAGCGACUCCCCGCCGUGGAAAAUCGGGCAGGGCAAUUCGGAGUGGGAAAAUUACCAGGACUUCACCCAGGGCCGCUCUCCCUCUUUCGCCGAGGCGGCCGAGUCGGAAGAGCGGCACCGGUGAGCGUUCCGCGCCGCCUGGAAAACGUCAUCGCGCCCGGCGUCUUUCACCUCUUCCUAGAGAAAAUCCCGGAGGGCACCAUCUCGCUAUCUGACCCGAUCGUAGAUACGAUUCCGCUCCCGGCCGUCGGAUCCACCUGUCCCGGGACGCGUGGCCGCCUCUCGGAGGCCCCCCCCCCCCCCCCCGCUCCUGGCUGAAGAGAAGGGCUCUCCCCCCACCGGCGGGCCCCGGGCUCGUGUUCCUGGUCGAGGAUCUCACCUUUACCGUAAUAAAGCUAGGCCGUUUUGAAAAUUUUAAAAGAACGACCACCGGCUCUCCGUGUUUGCUUGGCCUGUUGUCGAGCUGUGUUCGGCGCUGACGCCGAUUACAGGUGGGACGUCGUCCGACGGAUGCCCAAAAGCCCUUUCCCUCCAAACUCCCCGAGUCACGUCGUCAGCUUCUCGGUGCGGGGUUUUGGGGUGUUGGUUGGUCCCCCUGCUCCCACGGACCCAUCCCUUCAGAUAUACGUGUCCUCCUCUUCACCCGGCACAGAUUUCUCCUUUUCCAAAUGCCCAGUGACGAAAAAGAGGGAAUGUUCAGUUGAGCCGUAACCCGUGUGGAAGUAGCCCCCGUUUCCGGGGGUCGCUUACCCACGCCGGGUUGAGAAGCCAUUUGGCUGAAUCGCACCGGUCACGUCCUCAAAUGGCAGCCCCCUUGAAAAAGCGCGGCCUCCGGACCGUCCGUAACUCGCGUUUUGAACUCGGCCACGGGCUGUUCGGAAGCAUCGCCGCCCCGACGCUCCUCUCUCCUGGUUCUUUUCUCGUCUCACUGGCCGUUCAUUCUCGGUCUCAUUCGUGGGCGCCGCCUCCACCUCCCACCCCCUGACUGCGGGGCCCCCUCGGUGUUGUUCUGCGUCCCCCUCUCCUCCGCAUCCGCUCCCUUGGAGGGCUCGUUCGCUCCCGUGACUUCAACUACACCCUCCCCGUCCACCGUCUUGCAUCUCCUGCCGCCUUCUCCGCUCCUCUAACGUUAACCUCGAUCGAUCUCGCCGCCGGCCCCGCGCCCUCGUCCUCCCU
Molecule: long non-coding RNA, 2353 nt
Filed under: Ornithorhynchus anatinus (platypus)
Lineage: Eukaryota; Metazoa; Chordata; Mammalia; Monotremata; Ornithorhynchidae
Description: lncRNA (ENSOANG00000038530.1)
Source: RNAcentral